This 40826-nucleotide long non-coding RNA is filed under the name Cucumis sativus (cucumber). Its description in RNAcentral is "long non-coding RNA (CSAT_LNC001904)". The record is from RNAcentral. Lineage: Eukaryota; Viridiplantae; Streptophyta; Magnoliopsida; Cucurbitales; Cucurbitaceae.
CUACUUUCAGUUUCUAGUCAAAGAAAGGUCCAGGCGCAGGCGCAAAGAAUAUUGCGAGGUGCAGUCUAAUGGAUAGGACUGAGGGCUCGACUGAAAGGAGAGAAGGCGCAAUGAAAUAUGCGAGGUCCAUAUUCCGACUGAGGAACUGAAACUUCCGCGUAGUGCUUCCCUUGUUCAUUGAUAGUAAUCCUGAAGUUUCUUCUUGGCAUCAAAAUAGAUCAAUGAAAGAGGACUAAAAAUAAGACGAAAGUACUUAUGACGGCUUUCCUUCCCAACAAAUCUUCGUUCUUAGUUAUUUGAUUCCACUUUCAAACUUUCUGGGAGUUGUCUUCUCCUAGGCUUUCUUCUUUCUGGCAGUCUUCUGCCUUGCCGUAGGGAGUAGGUUCAGGAGAACCAUAACCAUAAAUCAGAGAGACGGAGGCAUCAAUCACGCAAUAUUCUUUGCACCUCUUCCUUUAAGCUAUAUUUUUUAGGCUCCGGAGGCUCAAAGACAGGGAUAUUGUUGAAUACUAUUAGUUCGAGUCGCAGAGAGCAAAGAAUUUUCUCUUAAUGGAACUUAGCGCGGGUUAAUAUGGAUAGGACUGAGGUCUUAAGACUCCUAACUAUUAAUGGAAAGGACCCACGGAGCGGUGCAAAGAAUAUAUAGAAGGGCAGACAGGUCCGGAGGACCUGUCUGUCCUUCGGUCUUAAUACUCCUAACGUCGAAUAAGAAGCUGGAGGCUGGGUCCAGGUGCAAAGAAUAUUGUGUCCAUUAGAUCCAUUGAAUUAGGCGAAGGAUUUUAUCAAGCUUAGCUUUCUGGAUUCUUCGGCGGAGUGGGGCUUUCUCUAGUAGGUCUGGAGGCUCAAAGAAUGAUCAAAGGCUCCGAACCAUAAAGAAGAGAGUCGGAGGACAUCCAUUGACUUUUUCUUCCUUUCACUUCUAACUUCAAACCUUUCAUAUUCAACCUUGAAAAUAAAGGAGGGAGCGGACUACGGAGGCCAUAAGUUUGAGUUCCUCAGAUGUAUAAAAACAAGUCCUCCGGACGACCUAUCCACUGAAAGUAGCUACGUAGUCUUGUCUCCUUCCCCGCGUAGUGGGCAUUGACUUCUUCAUUGAUUUUCUUCUAUCUCCCACGUAGCGGUUGAAUAUGAAAGGAAGCCCACAGAGCUGAAGAUGGAGCGGGAUAAUAAAGAAGAAAGCUCAAAAGGAGGGAGCGGACCUCAAUGAACAAGGGGAGGACUCGUUUUCAUCCUUAUGGAAGAAAAAUCUCUUUUUUUUAUCUAAAAGACGUAGAAGGAGGCUCAAUGUCUAAUCUUUCUCUCAAAUCAAUAUCCCCAGUGCAAAUAUUCCAGCAAUAUUCUCAAUAUGAAAAGAGCCUUUCUUCUUUUCUUAGAUAAAUGCGCUUCGUAGAUUAUGCUGAAGGAGGAGUGGGCCAUGAUCUUUGCUCCUUAAUUUCCCUAAUGGAUAGUCAUCUGGACCUUUCUUUUUAGUUCUUUGCGCUCGUCAACGCAUAUUUCAUUGCGCCUUCGCCUUCAAUGAAAUCCAUAAAUAAAUAAGGGUAGAUUUCAGACUCAAGAGGAGGGUUCCUUAUCAAUAUCAAUGAGACGGAUAGGCUUUCUUUUACAUUCCACAGGUCCGAAGGACUAUCCAUAUUAACAUGUCUGUCCUUCGCCUAACUAGUUCAUAUAGACCUUUGUUUUUCUUCCGCAGUCACUAAUAUGGAUAGUCCGGAGGACCUCCUUCAGCAUAAUCUAUGAAUGAUCGGAGCAAAGAAUAUUGCGGAAAAGAAGAAAGGAGUGCAAGCGAAAAAUAAUGGAUUGAAUAGUCCUUCGGACGAACUACCGCACUUGGGGGAUAUUGUUGAGAAAGAAUAUUGAAAAAGAAUGAUCGAAGAAUAUUGAAAAAGGACGGAGGAUAGGCUUUCUUUGAACAAUGUGGAUGUAUCAAAGAUUCCACAGGUUAAUAUGGUAGAUUUCAGACUAGUCCUUCACCUUGGAUCUGGGGACUAUUCUCUGUUCUAAUAGACAUAGAGGAGAGGUUCAAAGAAUAUUGAGAAUACUCGUGCAAGCGCAAUCAAUGAACAAGGUGAAAAGAAUAAAAAAAAGGCGGUCGAUGAUCAGGAAGAAAAAGUCAAAAGUCUAUCCCAUCUUCUUCGUUAGGCGCAAAGAAGAAAAACAAGGUGCAAAGAUCUAUGGCCCAAUUAUAAGGGGUCCAGAUGCACCAUAAGACUGGUCCGAAGGACUAUCCAUAUUAACCGGAGUCUUCAACAAGAUUUCCAACCCUGAAUAUUAAGCUACUGAGGCCCAAUAUUGCGAAGGAAGAACUGCGCCAUAAGACAGGUCCGAAGGACUAUCCAUUAGGGAAUGAGACGGAGGUAACGUUUGGUUUUUUGGAAAACUUGUUGGUCGCGGAUUAGUGCGUUUUUUUUGGAAAGUAACAAUUCUCUUCAGUUUGGUUUCAGAAAACUUGUUGGUCACGGAUUAGUGCGUUCUGCGCCGCCUGGUGUCACGAACAUAUUUUUCCAAAGUGUGUUUACCUUUGGUUAUAUGCUCCGAUUACCCCCAGUUUAUCUCAUCUUUAGUUUGCAUAACUAGUUUAGCUGAUUGCUUUUCAUUCUAGGUCAUAAAGCUUGGGUGUGACGUUUCGGCAUUUUCAUAUGCAAGCCUGCCAGAGAGGAAAAUGUUCAAAAUGUACUAUAGGGGAGGCAUACCAGUUGAAUCCCCGCCCAAGCAUUAGUUGUACUCUUUGCAAGCAACCCUUUUUCCUUGCAAUUGACAGUCUUUAAUGCUUAUUGUAACGUCUAUUUCAAUGUAUUUCUUUCUUUCCCGUGUUUUAUAAAUAAAAUGUCCCUAAAACGCAAACGAAGGUUACGACAUACAUCGACGUUACCCACAACUCUUGGAUAUUGAUCGACUGACUUGUUCAUCGAGUUAGAACAAGUGCCGCACAAUCGUCCGUCUCGAGGUUGAAACGCUACGAUUGUGACAAGUGGUAUCAGAGCCAAAGUUGGCUGAGUGACAGUUUUGACAAAAAUAAAAUGUCGACUGCAAAACGAGCGAGCAAGACCCAUGAAGAACGGUUGGUGGGGAUCGAAGUGCAGAUGCUCCACCUGAUGGAAGUUCCUGAUUCCAUCCGGUUCUUGGAAUAGCGGCUUGAGGAUAUUGCCAAGAAAGCUGAUGGCAUUGAAGCCGUGUCCGGUCGCCUUGACGGACUACCCAUCCAAGAGUUACUGACUAGAGUCGACACUCUAGAGUCCCGAGUUAUGAGAACGGGAAAUGUCACCUACGAGCGUGGGGACAGUUCAUCGGGCUCUGUUGCCCAGAUGGAAGAACGAGUUAUGGAGCUUGAUAACUCGCAAAAGAACAUGUUGGAGAUGAUCAGCGCAUGACAAAGGAUUUUCGAGCAACCCUCGAUGUCGUGAGGAAUGAGCUCGCAGAGGUAAGCACGAGGGUGAACCUUACUAUGCGAGCACUAGAAAAUCAGGCUCUAGCUGGAGGAGCCAUUCCUGUGGGCAGAAUCAAGAUUCCUGAGCCCAAGCCCUUCUGUGGGGCGAGAGAUGCCAAGGCGUUGGAAAACUUCAUCUUUGAUGUCGAGCAGUAUUUCAAAGCCACGAACACAAUUACUGAAGAGGCCAAGGUGACGUUGGCAACCAUGCAUCUGUCAGAAGAUGCGAAGUUAUGGUGGAGGUCCCGAUACAUGGACAUUCAAGAAGGGCAUUGCACAAUCGACACGUGGGAUGCCCUAAAAGGAGAACUCCGUUCGCAAUUUUCCCUGAGAAUGUCGAAAUUCUGGUCCGACGGAAGCUGCGUGAAUUGAAGCACACGGGGAACAUUCGGGACUACGUGAAACAGAUUGCGGGGGUAAUGUUGGAUAUACGCGACAUGAUCGAAAAAGAUAAAAUAUUCAGCUUUGUUGAAGGGUUGAAGCCAUGGGCAAGGACUAAGCUAUACGAGCAGAAAGUCCAAGACCUCGUGUCAGCCUAUGCAACAGCUGAACGUUUGUUUGAUCUGUCUAAUGACGUUCAAGAGACAAGACAUCAUUGAAGCUCUUCACCUGGAAGAGACAGAAACAGCCGACUGAAUUCUCCCGAAGCUGUCAGUAGAAAUAAAAGUCCCGGCAGAGACCGCAAGCCCUUCCAGUCAAAUACGGGGAACACCAGGCAAAGGCCCACUAGUCAAAGGACCUCCCACACUCCUAUCAGUUGCUACAUUUGUAACAGGCCACAUCGGACAAGGGAAUGUCCGGAUAAAGCGGCCUUCUACGCCUUCCAGGCCUCUCUGGCUACAGACUUAGGUGACAAGUUGGGUCAACCAGAGAAUGAAGGUGGGUAGGUGGAGGAAGUCCAAAACGUUAGAGUAGGGGCCAUAAGACUCUUGUCGUUCCUUCAGAAUAAAGCAGGGGAGACAAGUGGUCGUACAAAAGGGGGCCUAAUAUAUGUGGACACCUGGAUCAACCGAAGGCAUGCAAAGAGCACUAUGGUUGACUUCAGUGCAACCCAUAAUUUUAUAACGGUGGCGGAAGCCAGACGAUUGAACCUUCACUAGAAGAAGGAUACAGGAAAGAUGAAGGCCGUAAAUUCUACAGCUUUACCCGUCGUCGGAGUAGUGAAACGAGCGGUGAUACAGUUGGAAAGAUGGAACGGCCUUGUUGACUUUGUGGUUGUGGGCAUGGAUGACUUUGAUGUAGUUCUCGGAAUGGAAUUCCUUCUUGAACAUCAAGUGAUCAUGAUGCCUGCAGCCAAAUGUCGGUGAUCACGGGAUCUACCCCCACCGUUAUGCAGAUACCCCCACCAUUAUGCAGAUAGAACUCCGGCAACCCAAAGGAUUGAGAAUGGUCUCGGCCAUGCAACUGAGGGAGGGCCAUAUUCAGGAAGACACAAGGCGUGUCGUGGAGAGACGUUGUGAUGGGAAACAGGAUAGUUUGCCCAUGUCAGAAUCGCCUACGAGAAAUGAUCAUCGUAUGGCGCAAUCAAAAUCAUCUGGACUCAGGAGACAGUCAAGGAGACUGUCAGGUGCAGGAUCCACUAGACCUGCGAGAGAUCCGUAUCAAGCACAAGACUUCUUACGGAAGGAAGAGAAUGGACAAUUGUGUGUCAACAACCGUGUCCUAAAGCAAGCCCCGAGGAGAGGGCCAACUUUUGAGUCCGUGAGUGGGACUCAGCCUGUUGAAGCUUACGCUAAGGCAUAUGGUCCUGUGUCAGGUGGCAUCCUAAUGCAGAAUGGACACCCUGUCAAAGCUGAGAGUCAGAAACAAAGUGCCGCAGAAGGUAGUUAUACGAUGUUUGGAAAAGGAAUGCUGACCACGAUACGUAGUCUGAAGGAUGGAAGACAACAUUCCCAGGGGUCUACACAUGGAAGAGAGACGAACAACAUUGCGACCAACCGCUUUGAUACUCGGCCGAAGUGGGCUUUGAGUCAAGAAAAGUGGCAGAGGGACGUGUCAAGGGAAUCCUUGCAGAAAAACUCUGUCAUUGAAGUUGAUGUAAGUCUGGCGGAGACCAGUCAGGUGGAAGAAAAGAAUGGAGUUCAAUUGUGGAAGCUAACCCAAUCUUAUGUUAAUGCUGCAAUGAGUUCGUCAAUGGAUGGAAACCAGUUUGUGGGUGUUUGUGGCGGACAUUCUGUACAGUCCCGCCUUGUUGGUCCCUCCUAUGUUGGUAAGAAUCCUCAAGCUUGCAACAGUACCAAGAGGUGGAAGCUGGAGUCAGACAUCGUUCGGACCGAUCGAGAGGAAGCCUCGAAGUGGCCAGAAAAGUGGGCAGAUAAGAAGCAUCGCCUCCGUGAUUCCCGUGGGGAGACCAGGUCAUCGUCAAACGGCGAUCUGAACUGACUCCGUUUUUGAAGAAGACUUCAAGAUCACCGCCUCAUGAGAGAACGCGAGGGACAAACAGAAGUUCAAGAAGUCCUUGCUAAAGAAGCAAGGAAAGAAGAAGAAGACCCAUGGGGGAUACACAAGUUCGUGGUGAAGCAGAGGAGCCUCCUCAUGGAAGAAGCCUGUGGAAGACGUACCAAGACUGUGAAGCGUGGAGGUAGAAGAUCGAAGGAUUCCAGCUUUGCCAGUCGACGGGGACGUCAACUGUUUAAGUGGGGAGUGUGUCACGGACAUAUUUUUCCAAAGUGUGUUUACCUUUGGUUAUAUGCUCCGAUUACCCCUAGUUUAUCUCAUCUUUAGUUUGCAUAACUAGUUUAGCUGUUUGCUUUUCAUUCUAGGUCAUAAAGCCUUGGUGUGCGUUUCGACAUUUUCAUAUGCAAGCCUGCCAUAGAGGAAAAUGUUCAAAAUGUACUAUAGGGGAGGCAUACCAGUUGAAUCCCCGCCCAAGCAUUAGUUAUACUCUUUGCAAGCAACCCUUUUUCCUUGCAAUUGACAGUCUUUAAUGCUUAUUUUAACGUCUAUUUCAAUGUAUUUCUUUCUUUCCCGCGUUUUAUAAACAAAAUUUCCCUAAAACGCAAACGAAGGUUACGACAUACAUCGACGUUACCCACAACUCUUGGAUAUUGAUCGGCUUACUUGUUCAUCGGUUAGAACAAGUGUCGCACAAUCGUCCGUCUCGAGGUUGAAACGCUACGAUUGUGACACCGACGGCCACAUAGAAUUGAGAAAAGCCUAUGGUUGAGGCAGCAUUAAUUUAUGAAACUUUACACGUGGGAAGGGAUGACUCUUUCUAUUCAAACCUGUAAACAUAGAAGACCGCCUCAAUGAACAAGGGAUCAUUCACAUAGAAUAAAUAUGAACAACGAGAAAGGGAAUAUAAGGUUUGAAUUCAGAGGAAAGCCUAGCUUGAAUGAACAAGGUGAAAAGAAUAUUGACAGCUGCACUUACGAGUCUUUCAGUUACCUUUCUGCCUCUUUAAAGAGAGUUCAAGGUUUUCUAUUAUCGGAAGAAUCAGAAUAAGAAGAAAAUAGAGGAAGACAGAGAGAAGAGAGCUCAGGAGGCGCAAUGAAAUAUGCGUGAGAAGCGCAUUUCCUUAGUGGAAUACUUUGAUAGCGGAAUAAGAAGUCGGAGGCUCGGUCAAGACGAUCUUUUGAUCUAUUCUAAUGGUCUCUAAUGGAUAGUCCUUCGUUUUAGAGUCCUACAGAUAAAUCCUCCGGACUGGUCCGAAGGCUAGGUUCAUACGGAUAGUCAGGAGGACGGUUAGUUGGAGCCUUGUUUUUCGAAAUCUUCUUUGAGCCUCAGUCGUCUCAUUGAUAAGGACAUCUUUGCAAAUGAAGAGCGGGAGGUGCAAAGUGCGGCUAUUACUUUGAAAAGAAUAGGAGCUCCGCGGUUUGAAUUGAAUAAAAAGGAUAGGCUGAAAUUCAAAGUGAAUAAGAGGAUAUUUUCAGAUAUAAUAUCUAAAGUCAAUGAACAGGGGCUCCUAACCUCUGAUUUAUGGGGAGCCUACUACGUCCAUUAGUUCCGAACUUGGCUCCACUCCUAGUAGUUCGAACUUGGCUUUGCUCCUUCGCUUUUUCUCUUAUUGAUCUCUCUUGUAAUGCUUUCUACUAAGAAUCAAGAAAGCGCAACUUCUAUUUUGUCCGAACGACCUUGAUUAAAAAACGAUGCUUCCUUGGUCGUGUAGAACAUGGAUUAGCAUUAUUUCAUUCCUACAAGCGAUCCCCCAUCCAGGAUUGGAAGAAGUGCUAUAUGAGGACUUUGAGAUCAAAUAGAAUAUAUUUCUUUCAAGACCUCGUGAGCCACUUAUUUCUCUGAAACAAGAGAGAAAAGUGAUUUUCCUCCUUUUUCUCAAUAAGUCGACGACCUUACACCAUUGGGAUACUUCUUCUUUGAAACUAGAGUACAUAUAGGAUACACCGGUGCUAAAACCUUUUCUCAAAAGAUCUUCCAAACUGUUGGGGUCCUUGCUCCGUAUGUUCUUCCCCCGGUGUGAAAGCAGUUGGUUCCAUAGUUUGAGAAUUCUACUACUGAUCCCAAGUACUCCAUCUCCAUCAUUGCAUAUGGGAAUAUAGAAAAGUCAAGAAGAAAAGGCAUGAGCAGAAGAAUUGUGUGAAAUAAGUCAAUUUAUCCAAUUGAGGCAUUCUUUCUUUUUCUUAAGAAAAUUCCCUCUAGACAUAAAUCCUUUCUGUACGAGUAGUGAAGAACUAUAGAGAGUAGUGGUUGGUUGUUGACCAACAAAAAGCAUGGGAGAAAGAAAGAUGUUGGCAAGGAAGCAUCAAAAUAGAUCAAUGAAAGAGGCUCAAAGAAUGAUCGAGGACUAUUUUAGUCCGACUAGAAACUAGGGAAACUAAAGACUAACGAAAUCUAGAUGAGAAUCCGUACAAUUAGUCUCGAGAAAAAGAAGAAAGCAAUAAAAAAAGUGAAGACAGAAAAUGAACCGAAAAUCUUCUUCUCUCAUAUUGAAUUCAUCCUUCUACGCAUCUCCAUGGGCUCGACUGAGAGUGGAGGAGAGGACGGGAAGAAUGAGAAAAAUAGUAAGGCGAGAAGACAGGUUCGAAGGACUAUCCAUCAGGGAGUUUGGACCCCGUAGUUAGGAGCAAAGAAUAUUGCGAAAGAGUCAUAAUAGGUACAAAUCUUCUUAUAGAUUAUGUUGAAGGAGGCGGCGCAAUUCAAUAUGCGAAAGUCAUGAUCCCUUUAAAGCAGACGUUAGGCGCAAAGAAAGAAGCUCAUUAACGAGAAUGAAAGAAUAAUUCACUCAUUAACGAGAAUGAAAGAAUAAUUCUGAUUUCAUCACCUUGUUUUUACGGAGUUCAAUACUAGAUUGAAGACGGAGGGAAAUCCCAGAUUUUGCUAGGUUUUGGGCCUAUAAAGUAGCAAGAAAUCAUGAAAAAUCAGUCAAAAUUAGACAAUUAUCGUAGCAUAUCAAUAUGAGAAAAAGUAUGAAAAAGAAGCAAAAAAGUCGGGAAAUAGCAAUUCAAGAAGAAAGCCUAGGACAGGGAAAAGAAAUGAACACUUCUAGUUUGAGUUUAUGGUCCGGAUACUGACAGGUCUAUUCUUUAUUCCGCUCCUGAAUAUGGAUAAUCCUACUUCGGUUAAUUACGGAUAGUCCUCCUUCGGUUAAUUACGGAUGGUCCUACGGAUAAAUCCUCCAGACUACUUCCUUCCAUAUGGAUGGUCCUACUUCGGUUAAUUACGGAUGGUCCUACUUCCAUAUGGAUAGUCCUACGGAUAAGAAUCCUGCGGACUCCGGACUACUUUGGUUAAUUACGGAUGGUCCUACGGAUAAAUCCUCCGGACUCCGGAUAAAUCCUGCGGACUCCGGACGUACGACGUAGGAUAAAUCACCUGGACCUUUCUUUGGCACUACGGACUACUUCGGUUAAUUACGGAUGGUCCUACGAAUAAAUCCUCCAGACUCCGGGUCGUAAGACGUAGGAGAAAUUCCUGCGGACUCCUUCCUUCCAUAUGGAUGGUCCUACGGAUAAAUCCUCCAGACUACUUCAAUUAAUUACGGAUGGUCCUACUUCCAUAUGGAUAGUCCUACUUCAAAUGGAUAGUCCUCCGGAUAAAUCCUGCGGACGUAGGACCCUGGACCUUUCUUUCUUUAAUGGAUAGUCCUCCGGAUAAAUCCUGCGGACGUAGGACCCUGGACCUUUCUUUGGCACUCCGGACGGAUAAAGAAAGGAUAAAUAAAGGCGCAAAGAAUAUUGCGAAGCGAAGCGCAUUUAUCUAAGAAAAGAAGAAAGGAUAAAUAAAGGCGCAAAGAAUAUUGCGAGAGCGGGAAUUACCUUUUCUCUUCGGGUUAGCUAAGAGUUGCCGGAGGCUUGAAGUCGGAUAAUUACUUUUACUUAAAGGUUUCACAAACCUGCAAAAUCUUCUCCAAAUUAGCGUUAGCGUUCUGAGCUAGCCAAGCAGUAUAUUUAAAAUAUAGAAAGAAGAAAAAUCCAUGCAAUCUAAGUACACUAAGAACCUACAGCAUCGUCACCGCUGCGUGGGAAGGUUAAUUCUUCUAACUCUGGUAUUAUCGUUGAACAAGCAGUUCACAUCCGACUGCCCGCGUAGUGGGGGAAGCUCGCUCGCUAACUUUGCACUUCGGCCAAAAUGCCGAAAAAAGGCUAAGGCCGAAGGAGGUCUGACUCCUUCGCUCAAGGAAGAAUUGCCCGAUUGGAUAUAUAUCUUGGUGCGGAGAGAGGAAAGGAUCACGGAAGCCUCAGUCUCAGUACGAAAGGGGCAAAAAGCUGGAAAAAGCAUACUGGCUUCACCUUGCCCUAGGAUGGGGUCCGCCGGAUCUUUUAAGGCAUAGGCUUAAUGCUGAGACGCACGGGGAUAUCCGGUCCAGGAUGGAUAUUCAAGACAAGGACGAAGGCUCUCCGUCACGCAAGAUGAUUACAAGUCUUAGGAGUGAACUUCCGCUUUACCCCUUCCGGUAUCAGGAAGCGAAGGGCAGAGAAAGCGAGCGAGAAAACAUAAAUCAAGGCGGUCGAUGACUUAAAAUAGGCAAAAAGAAAAGACAGAAAGCCUACGGGUUUCUCGGUUUACCCUUCUUUUAGGAUAGAAAAAGGCACUGCCUGUGUGACCACUACAAGCGGACGUGACGAGCGACGCAGGGCCACCCACGACCGCUAGCAAUACGAGGUAAAGCGGCCAGAAAGCAUACCAUAGGAUGCGUCCUGAGGGCAUUCACAUAAACAUUCUUCGAAUUGUUCACAUUCGGCGGGAUGUUCUUAGCCUUGUCUCCAGGUGAAUAAUUGAAUCGGCACCGGCGAUCGGACCUAUUGCAGCCUUCGGUUGACUGGUGGCAUUCGAUGGUAUGCUUGAGGCCUUCCCAACCCGCUCCGUGUAAAAGAGGUAGAAGGAGGCUCAAAGAAUUAUCGAAGAGCAAGACGAAAGAAAAUAGCGACUUCCAGUCGGUGAUGGGAAAUCUCAAUGUUAUCGCAGAUUCAAAGGCGCAAAGAAUAUUGCAUUGAGGCUCGACUGAAAGGAGAGGCGAAUUUGAGAAGAAAGAACUAUAUCGGCUAAAUACUCAACUGCCUCAGACGUCACUGGGACAAGAGCCGGAGAUUCCGAAACCUCUCGCAGCUUCUUUGCUUCCUCUGGUCUCGAUAUUUGAACCGCCUCAAUAAACAAUAAAUAAGGGUCCAAAAAAUCAAGGUCAUCUUCAAACCCUUUUUUUUAUGCGCCUCAGUCCUAUCCAUUAGAACGUCGGCCCUCACCCUUUUUCUUCUUAGUGCGCGCUUGAGCUUUAGUCUUCUGAGUUCUCAAAUUCUUUGACCCUCUGUCUCAGUAUUCGGCAGAGAUGCUGAUGUUAACAAGAAAUGCAGGCUGAAUGUUGUAUGGAAGGAUGAUCAUUUCGGCUUCUUGUAGCCAUUGAUGCUGUCUAAUGCUUGGAGAGACAUUGUUUAAUGUGACUUUGGACAAGGUUACUGAAGAUAGAACUAUCUGGCCUCAGAGGUCAGUUUUCAGUUGCUAAGACAGUGAAGCUCUUUCAUCUUCCUGGUAAUACUGUCCCUUGGUUCAAGCUUCUUUGGGGUAAGAAGCACAUCCCUAGUCAUGCUUUUCUUUCCUGGAUGGCUAUGAAUAAGAGUCUGAGAGUCAAAGCUAAACUGUACAAUCUUUAAGUGCUUUCGUCUGAUUUUGAGGUUUGGAAGCAAAGAAGCAGAGCGGAGUUUGAUUCCUUAUAUCAGAAAAAGAUAUAGGAAGACUCCCAGAAAGAAGAAAGCCUAGGAGAAAGCAAAGAAAGAGUAAGGAUCAGAAAGCUCCUAACCCCUAUUUAUUUAUGGAUGUGAAUUGAGCGAAGGCGCAAAGAAUAUUGCGAAGGUUCAAAGAAUAUUGACUUGAUAAACCUCUAUUUAGCUUCUUAUAUCUGAAGACGAUAAAGUCAGAUAAUCAGCCUCCGGCUGGGUCGGAUCGUCCAUACCUAGUUGAGUAUCUUGUCCGUCAUAACGAAGUCACUCUUUGAAAAAGGGUCGGGCUUUGUUGGAGUUGACUCGGUGAGUACACUUUCAUCUUUACGAGAAGAAGCGCGAACAACAACUAUAUUAUUCAGCAGAGACCUGAUUUACCCGAUGAGUGGAACGGCUCGACAAAAGUCUUAGGACUCGGGACGACGCGCCUCCUUCCUGCUAGAACUCAUAGGUCUACGGGGUUCUUUCGGUAGCGAGAAUAGUGGUCCCAAACGGAAUAGAAGUACUUUUGAUUCACUGAAUCGGAAUCUUUGAAAGAAGAAAGGGGGACGGAGGAUCAAUGAAAUUUGAUGAUGAUGAGUAAGCUCUUGCUUUUCUUGCUCCUCUUUCUGAAGUUGCGAGAGGUUCAAAGAUCCUUAUCAAUGAUUGGAGUGGCUGUUCCGGUUGCAGACGUUGCUGUUGGAGUAGAAGCUGUAGCCCUUUCGGUGAGGUGCGAAUGCUCGACCUCGACCCAUUGGCAUUAGUUGAGGAUGCACCAUCCCUGAUUAUUUUUUAGGAGAAAGCCUCUUUCGUCGGGUUCAAGGGAAAAGACUAAGAAUGAGGUCCCCUCCCCCCAGUUGAGGAACGAGGGCAAAAGCGAAGCCUAUGAAGUGAGUAUGAGCUCGCUCGACCCCCACGUAGCGGGAAUAGCACCAUCUUCUCUCUUUCAUGAGUAGUUCACUGCACUCAUUAGUAGCUGGACCAAGAGGUUAUUCUCUCUAUGAUCUCCUGGACUGGAAUAGCGCUCUCCCCAUAGCAAGAGGGAGCUCGACGUAGUCGGUCUUUCGGCAGUCACAAUAAUUAAGAGAAGCAGCUGCUCGGGAGAGGGAGGUAUCAGAUGCACGAAGAGAGGAUUGGUCGAAUCGACUGUAAGAAGAGGCAUCUGUUCUUGUGGCUGUAGCAGUUGCAGAAGUUGAAUCGUCUGUGGCUGUUCUUGUUUAAGAAAUAGCUGCAGCUAUUCCCACCAAGGCCUGACGAUAGGCUGAUUUCAGGAUUUCCUAUCCAUCCUCAAAUUCUUUGAGCCUUUGUUACAAGAAAAUACUCUUUAGUGACUCAAGAAUGACCCUGUCUUAUGGCACCUCUCAUCUGGAGCCUUUGUUUUUGAAACAAGUCAAAUUCUCUAAUGGAUAGGCCUGAAUUCAUGAAUAUUGAAUUGAACCUACUAAAAUCAAAGGAAUAAAGAAAGAGCUCAAAAGGAGUCAAAAUGAGAAGUCCGAAACCUCAUCACCUACUCCCGGAGGCAAGGUGAAAUUCAAUAUGACGAAGUCUUAUAGUUGGGUCUCAUCCCCCCAUAAUCAAGUAGCGUCCACUAAAAAGAAGCGGAGCGCGGAAGGACGAGGCGCAAUGAAAUAUGCCUUGAAUGAAUCUACCCUUUUUAGACUCGACUACUCCGCUACGUGGGCUUACUAGUAAUGCUGAAGUUUCCUCCUUUUCUAGCUUUCUUUCUAAUGCCCUUCUUUAUGGUCAAUGGUCACUUCCCCGAGGCGCGGAUCCCACUACACGGGAAUAUAUUAUGAUAUAAUGAACUAUCUUCUUUCUAAUAGCUAGUUUCAACAGCCACCGGGGAGGAGACAAGAACUCAAUCUACUGAAACAAGGGUUUCAACCACAGCGAGAGCAGACCUCAAAAAAAUAAGGAAGAAAAAGAUAAAGGCGCGAAGCGAAGCCUAUGAAGUCAUAAGGGCAAGGGCUUUCCGUGAACUUUCUUAUGAUGGGAAAUCCUUGUUUUCAUUUGCGAGACACAUUUCAUUCGUAGAAAUACCACUUCCUACUUCCUCAUCCCGACAAUAAAUAAAGCACUACGCGGGACAAAGUAGAUUCCCAAACUUAAAAGGAAAGACUAAAAUCAAAGCUCCAGAUGAGUUGAAUUGAGGUGCAAUGAAAUAUGCCUUUCUGCAGUGUGCGAAUUCGCUCUUUCGGCUGAUAACCUUUCGAUCCAGAAAGCACUACGCGGAAGUUCCCCACUACGCGGCGUGAAGUGACUGCCCACUUUUUGAAAAGAAAUAAAGAGCGCAGAACAAGGUUCAGUUAAGCUUGAUAAAUCAGUCCUUCGCCUAAGAAUAAGGUGAAAAGAAUAUUGAACUCAUGAAAUCAAUAUCCCUGUCUUAUGGGGCCUUUGUAGCUUAAUAAUGGGGAUCUGGUUCAAUUAUAAGGCUCAAAGAAGAUUGAGAAAGAAUAUUGCAAAAUCAAGGCGGCAAAGAAAAGGUGAAUAGGGAUUCGUACGAUUAGACUUGACUGAGAAUGGAAUUGCUUUAGCUAUCUUUUUUUUUCCGUCUUUCAAGGUGGAAGCUAAAUCAGAAUAGUUUCUAGUUGAAGGCAAGCAAGCUAGGGUUGGUUCGUAUUGACAAAGAGCUGGACUUCUAAACUUUCAAUGGGUACUGGAGUACUUUCUUUGUCAAUCGAUGCUUAAUACUAUCUUUACGCAAAUAAAGGCCGAAGAAUGAGGCUAAGUCUUCUAUUUAGUGGUCUCGCAAUAUUCUUUGCACCUUGCUGAUCUCAUUUCAAAAAUGCUUCGCCUGCCUCUUCUUUGAUUCCGUGCACGAGUAAGUACCCGUAAAUCGUAAAGAAAGAGGGGGGUAGUUACCUGCUCUUUCAUCGAGAUUGGCGAAUUACGGUAGAAGAUAGAAGAGGUUCGAGGAUCAAAGUAUUUGAGCUUUGCUAUUACUUUCAUGCUCCUCUUAGAAGGAAGAUAAGCACGAUAAGCUGGCCUAUAUCAUUGCUUAAUUCAUGCUUUCUUCGUACUUCCGGAAAGAAAUCUCACUCAUUUCAUUCUAUCACAUAAUGAGAACUCUAGAAAAGAAAUUGCUUACUUCAUGCUUUCUUCGUAUUUAUUUAAGGACCCAAUCCAUCUUUUGUCUAUGACGAUCGGUACGAAAGGAAGGCAUGCUCGCAGGGGAUUCUUAUUACUAAUAGAUGAUAAGAUAAUACGAGAAUGAAAGAGGUCGAGCGCCUCACCUCUGAGUCUGAUUGUUGGAAGUAUGAUGACUCCCACUGGUCGUCUUUCAACUCAUUAAAUCCCCCUAUCUUUUAUGGCGGUCUUACCGGAAUAUCUACUUUAUAGAAUUCCUAUGAGACUAAGAAAACAAACUGAGACCUCGUAGUCUUCCUGUUCCCGGUCGAUCCUAUGAUCGAUCUCAUACAAAGAUCUUCUAUGAUUCGACUAAAAAGACUCUUUCUUCUUAGUUUGAGCUUGAGGCGCGUCCAACCCACUACGCGGUAAGCUUUUCCUCUUUUCCUCUCACUUCAAGACUCAAGACCUUACCCGCACCGAGUCAAUCCGAUCGCUACCUUUCCAGGUCGUAUUCUAGUAAUUAAUUUCAUUAAUAACUCAGAGCGGCGAUCUAAAUACUUCUUCAGCAAGAACUUUCGAAGAAGGUAGAGGAACUGAAAUGGAUUCAGCUUCCGCAGGCAGCAUCCCUUUCAACGACGACUCCCCGAGAGACUCGCUUCAAACUUCCGAUUUAGAAAGAAGGUAUCUCAGUCUCUUACCGCGUAGUGGGCUGAUCGUGAGAGAUGGAAUCUUCAACCUCUUAUGGAAAUGUGUCCAGCGGAAGUAUUUACGUAAGAAAUUGAGAACCAGGCGAGAGGAGAGGGGUGAGGAUCGAGCGCAUUCCCUAUCGAUCAGCAUCCUCAACUCUACUUCAAGAGUAGAAAGGUUUCGGAAUUCAGAGGCAAGAGCAUUCCUUCCUCUUUCUUUAGUCAAGUCAUUUCAUUCCUUUUCUCACUAGGUCUAUAGAAAUAGUUCAUGGCCAGGACUAGGUCUCGUCAUAUUCUUUUCUCAAGAGAUGAGAAGAAAGUUCUCCUAAUAGAAUAUGUUUGAAUAUCUCAACUAGAAAGUCUCGGACUAACUCUUCCCAUAGCGUAGCCUACGGAGCGGGGAAAAGGAAGAUUUUCAACAGUCAAGAGAUCAAUCAGAAGGGAGCGGGAAGAAUGGAUAUUGUCUUCGAUCUUGCGAUAAAAUGAGUCAGACCAUAUGCGAUCUCGUCUCAAACAGAGAAUUAGUAAUCUGAGUCGCACGGGGAAUAGGUUGGAUAGUCCGGAGGACGGGAAGACAGAAAGAAAAGAGAGGCUCCGGAGGUUCAAAGAAUAUUGACAAAGAAUAUUUCAUGAAUUGAGGUGCGGUAGUCCGUCCGAAGGACUAUGAAAUCCAUUAGUUUUCGUUUGCACUCCUUUCUUCUUUUCUUAGAUAUUCUGGGAUUGAACUCCGUCUGAAAUCUAGCAGAUUCAUUUUUAGCUUCUUUCAUUCUCGUUAAUGAGCACUUGAACCUGUCUUUCUCAGGCGCAAAAAAUAUUGCGAGAAGAGCAAAGAAGAGAAUGGCGAUCAGAAUUUGAGUCCUUUCAUACUUUCGUUGAGGAGGAGGAGUUUUCUUCUUGUAUCAUAAUAGGAUAUUUUAGUAGAAUAAGAAGAAGAAGAAGAUAAGACUACGUAGCGUAGUGGGCUUUUCUUAUGGCGGAGCGGAGGAUUCCGACUAUCCACUGAAGAAAGUAGGAAAGCCUAAGGAACCUAAAAAGGGCUAAUAGGGGAAGGAAGAAAGCCUAUCCCUCCAGAAUCUUUGAGGACCGAAGGACUUCUUUAUAUCCCUAUUUAUUUAUUUAUGGGACUCCCAGAAAGGUUUAGUUCCAUAAAUCAGUCGGCUAAUAUAUAGGAUGAAAGUAGAUAGAAAGGAAAAGAAAAAAGUCGUCACUCUUAAGGAGUGCAAGAAGGAAUCUUUGAACCUUUUAUCCUGAUCUCUCUCAUUCUACAACUCAGUCGAGCCACUAUUCAACCUUCUUUUCGAUGGGACAUCAUGUCCUCUUAUCUUAAUCCCAUAAAUCAUUUAAGGCGAUACGGAAACAAGAAAUCCAGAAACUUAAUCCGGUAGAGUCAAUUCGAGACUAAGACGAGUUGGGGUUUCGACCAUAGGCUUUCCUUCCAAACCUACUAUACUAAACCUACCCCCGGACUCAAGGCGCGAAGUGAAGCGGCUGCCCACUUUUUAGAAAUAAAGAGCUGAGAUAAUUCUUUUCACUCAUUGAGGUCGGCUAAAUUCAAUGGAUAAAGAAGUCCUUUGCUUCAUUCUAUAUGUCCUUAUCAAUGAGACCAUUAAUCAGUCCGAAGGACUAUCCAAAGAAAAGAAUAUCCCUGUCUUAUGGGGCCUCCGUAGCUUAAUAUGGAGCGCUCCGGACGAGUCUUAACUAAUAUUCCCAAUCAAAGAAUUAUCGAAAGAAUGAUCGACGAGUCUUAUUCCACUAAAAUAGUAGUCCUUCGGAGCAGUCUUAUACUAAUCUCCUAAAAUCAAAGCUCCAGAUGAGUUUCAUUCCACUAAAAGACGAAAGAAGGUAUCUCAGUUACCAAAGAGAAAGAGCUUCCACAAACCACUUCCACAUAAACUUCUGCUAAGUCUACUUCUGUUAUUGAUUCAACUUAGCCUUUAAUCAGAUUAGGACCUAGCUAGCCAACCUUAUUCCUUCCUCUUCCUUACUUUGUUCUCGCUUGCUUCGGCAGGCACACACUAUCUCUGGAUACUGGAUAAGAGAUCCUUUGGUCAAGCUGCAAGAGAAAGACUUCUUCUCCGAUCGAUCAGCUACCCGAUUCCUCCUUCCCCGAUGAUAAGGUUAGCAGGCCCGAUCCUCUCCUAUUGAAAAAGAAAGCAGAAAUCUUUCAGUCUAGAGGAUUUAUCCGUAGCCCGGAGGAUUUAUCCGUAGCCCGGAGGAUUUAUCCGUAGGACCAUCUGUAAUUAACGCGAAGUAGUCUGCAGUCCGGAGUCCGCAGGAUUUAUCCGGAGGACUAUCCAUAUGGAAGUAGGACCAUCCAUAUGGAAGGAAGUAGUCCGCGAGUCCGCAGUCCGCAGGAUUUAUCCGUAGGACUAUCCAUUUUCAGUCGGACUAUCCAUAUGGAAGGGAGCGAAAUCUAGCUAUGAGGACUCUUUGAGCUCUUCUUUGAGUCAGUGGCUCUGCCACUUGCAGAAGGAGCAGCGAAGUCCGCGGUUUCAGAGGUUUAUGUAGCAGUUCUUCUUUAAUAAGAUGCUUACUUUCUUUCGGGUAGAAAGGUUCACUCGUGAACGGUACACCUCUUAUAUGAUGCCUGGGGACUUUGUCCCUUCUUCUACGGAUUUCUCUUAUAUGAUCUUAUUCAUCUCCGUAUCGUUCAUAUAUUCAUUCUAUAAAAUCCCUAGCUGCCACAGAUGGUCGAACUUGCCUCUUAAGUGGCGUGGGUCGAUCCUCUUGUUGACUUUUUACCUAGGAGUGGGGGGGAAGAAGUUCGAGAAUAAUUUAUCUUCUUUCCUUGUCCCAGUUCUUCUUUCCACUUCUACUUAAGUCACCACGACUGAUACAGAUGCAAGAACAUCAGGGCGAGCAGGGAAGAGGCGGAGGGAGUUUGCACUCUUUUCAUGCGGGUUUGAGUGAGACUGAUGCGCCCUAGGUCAAGCCAUUGCUUCGUCUUGUUCAUCACAUUCAUUAUGUUCACAAUUCCGGAAUCAAAGUAGAAAUACGAGAAAGCGCUCCAGCGGACUCUGAUUCAUUGGGAAUUCUAUCUUCCCGCCUCAAUGAACAAGGUGAAAAGAAUAUUAAAUGAAUCAUUGAGUUGAGGCGGUGGAACCUAGGAGUGGGACCGGGAACAUGAUAGGCUUGAAUCUAAGAAGUGAAUAUAGUAUUGAAAGAGGCCCACGGAGCGGUGUCCGACUAUCCUACUAUCGAAGCCUUGAAGCAUGAGUCUUGAGGUUUUCAAAGUCUACUCAGAGGACGAGGUUGAAGUUUCAUAGGGAAAGGUUUCAUAACAAGCAGUUGUUUUCCGUAUCGAAUGCUCUUUCAUUCCUUAUUCGAAAGAAGGCAAAGAAAGUGGAAACUAAAUCCUUGGAUUCUUUCCCGCUUGAACCAUGAAAGGUUAGGCCUUAGUUACGAUCUCAUUCAAUGCCCUAGCAUACUCAAAGGUUCGGGGGCGUAGUGGAUGGAGCUAGAAGACUACUACUUGGACGAGGGAUUUCCUUUCUCUUAUUGUAAUACUCCUAACCACCCCUUUUUGAAUGGGCAGGCCCCUCUGGUCGAGUUUACCCUUUUUAUUCAGGCCUAUCUGCCUCCGUUCAUGAAGGACAAAAUCGGACUGAGCCCUUGUUCAUUGAGGCGUAUAAGCCCACGUAGCGGUGCCAUAAGACAGGUCUGAAGGCGUCACAGGUCCGGAGGACCCGUCUGUCCGAAGGACGAGAUAUUUAUAAUGUUGAGAGAAAGAUUAGACUUUGUCAGGACCCUUAUUUCCAUUAUUUUUCACUUUCAAUAUUCUUGAGAAUAUUCAUUCAUCCGACAGAGCAAAGUUCAUCCAGAUCCCCAUAUGAAUUAGGCGAAUGACUGAUUUUCAAAGUCAGAGUUAUCCCUCAAAUUCUUUGAGCCUUUGCACUCAAAUUCUCUAAUGGAUAGUCCUUCAGACCGCUAGGAGUAAAGAAUAUUGUGUGGAACUGAACUAAUAGGGAAAAGCAUUUCCUAUUGAUUUGUCCCCUGGACUGGACCUAUUCUGAUUCUGAAUUAUCCGUCGCUACGUUGUUCCCAAGGACUAGCAAAAUCGAAAUAGCGAAAUUCUUGGGUCAUCUCAAUGGGUUCAGAAACCACACGUUUCUCUGGAUCAUCACAGCGUACUUCCACAUAUCCACUCAGAGGAAGGUCUUUUUGUAAUGGAUGACCCUCGAAACCAUAAUAUGUUGAUAUACGGCGUAGAUCCGGAUGAUUGAUGGAAGAAACACCAAACAUAUCCCAAACUUCUCGCUCCCACCGGCCGGCUGAUGGAAAUAGACUGACUACCGGAGAGAUUCGUGUUACUUCGUCUGCACUGGUUUGUACACGAAUGCGUGAGUUAUACCGAGUACUCAGUAAAUUAUAGGCCACUUCAAAUCUGAGUUUUCUAUAUAUAUUUAUAUUGAUGUUAAUAUGUUACCUUGUAAUUGGAAUGGUGAUUUGAAUAAUCUAAUAGGAUUAUGUGUUUGGAUCAAAAUAUGUUGCAAGAGAAAUAGCUAAAUGUGUGGAUUUAGUGACAAAGAGGGUAUUCAUGUGUUUAUUUUAGUUUUCUCAGUGAGGACUCGAUUUUUAGAAGAAACGACCACUGUUCGAAUCAUUCAAAACUUUGUUCCGAACAAAAAUUUUGGACUUUGUCAUUGUCCUCUUCACCGAAUGUGACAAACUUGAAGACAACGAUGAAACAUUGAAAGAUUACUUGGAUCGAAAAUGUCUUGUGGGGUUGAAAGAUACCAUAGCCGCUAGCAAGAACUGUUGCUUGGUUUUCAAUAACAAAACCGAUAAUGAAACAAAGAAGAUUGAAUAAGUGGAUAAACUUAUAAAGAUGGUGCAUGAAGUUGUACAACAAAAUGAAGGAAAAGCAUACACUCAUGGCUUGUUUUCUAAUGUCAAGUUUGAGACCAACUUGCAAGAUGAUGUGAAAACCAAGCUUGAACACACAAUUACAGUUCAAAACACAAGCAAAAUUUAAAGCAUAACAAGGAGCACAAGAAGUUCAACAACAAUCUAUGGAUCAAAUUCGAGUCCUCAAAGACCAUCUAUGCAUCAAGACUUGAAAGGUCACUGUCACUACCAAUGCUUCCACAAAUUAUUCGUCAUGGUCGCUGCAUGAGAAAAGGUUGCAUUAUUGUAUGACUUUACUGUGCAUGCAUUCAAUAAAUAUGUACAAGUAAUUAGUAUAAUGAAUAUAUACUAAAUAAAAAUAUGAAAAAACUGUGAAAAAAAACUUAUUUGAUUAACUGCUAUAAAAUUAAUAUUUGAAAAUUGGCAUGUGUUCUCGAAACUAAUAAAAGCAAGUUUGGAAAUGCCUUUAUUUUGUCUUUGUUGAGUGUAGUGUAAAUUGGGAAAUAUAGAAUGCUUAAUUAUGUUGUUAAUUAAUAAGAAAAUUAUUUUAGAAGUUUUGAUGAAUGUCCAACUACAUGUGGAAAGAAUUAUAAAGGAUUGAAAAAUGAUUCUAUAAUCUAGCCCAAACAAGAGGUGGGUUAUUAUAGCUCACUUCACUUCUAUUUAGUUUGGGACCCAAAUAGCCUCUUAAAAUUAGGUUAACUCCAUAACUAAUAAGGGUCUUUAACUCAUAUAGUCUAAAUUGCUAUAUGAUAUUACAUGAAUGAUCCAAAUUACUAAUAAAUUUCAUAAAAGUCCUAAAUGGACUAGUAUAUUACAUAAAUGUAGGCUCAAAUUACUUUAAUACCAAUUUAUAUUAUUUAAUUGAUUUAUAACAAAUAUCUAAAUGAAAAAAACCGUGGGAUAUAGUUUUGGAAAGAAGUGGGGUCCAAAUUAAUUUAAUAUCAACUUCUAUUAUUUAAUUUAAUUGAUUUAUAACAAAUAUCUAAAUGGAAAAAAUGGUGGAACACCGUUUUGGAAAUAAGUGGGGUCCAAAAUAAUUUAAUACAAAUUUUUAUUAUUUAAUUGAUUUAUAACAAAUAUCUAAAUGGAAAAAAUAAAGAGAUACAGUUUUGGAAAGAAGUGGAAAACUUUUCAUGCUUUCCUUCCACGAAAAUGGUUGUCUACUCCUUUCAACGUGGAUUACGAUUUUUACUUCAAAAUUUUAGAGAGUUCGGAGGUGAAGAAGAAGACAGUCGACGACCGACAAAUACAAAACUUCUCGAACAUAAUCUAGUUAAAAACUUUGAAGUUAGUAUUGUAUAUAUUCAACACAUAUGAAACAUUAGAUAUAUUAUGUAUAUUUUAGACAUUCAAUUAAAUAGUCAAUCAAAUGAAAAUGUAGUUUUGAAUGUGAUACAUUUUAGGGUUUAUUGAGAUUUCGGCGGUGAAGAAGAAAACUUUUGAUGGCCAAAAAAUACAAAACUUAUCCGACAGAAUCUAACUAGAAAAUUUGUGCUUAAUAUUAUAUAUAUUCAAAACAAAUGAUUAGAAACAUUUAGUAUAUUAGGUAUAUUUUAAAUAUUCGAUUAAAUAGACAAACAAAUGAAAAUAUAUGAAACAUUUGGUAUAUUAGGUAUAUUUUAAAUAUUUGAUUAAAUAGACAAACAAAUGAAAAAUUAGUUUUGAAUGUGAUACAUUCUAGAGUUUAUUAAGAAUUCAACGUUGAAAAAGAACGGUCAUCCUAUCAAAAAAAUAAUAGAACUAUAUAUAUAAUAUGAGGUAUAUAUAUAUAAAACAUAGAACAUAACUAUUAUAGAUUACGGAUAUAUUAAAGUAUAAUGUAAUCAAAUACAUUUAUAAAGGAAAAAUAUGUAUGUAUGAUCAUGUCGUUUACUACCGUUUUAGUAAUAUUUAUUCUACAAACACAAAUUCUGUAGGAAUUAUGUAUAAGGUAUUAUUGUAUAUAAUAUGAGGUAUAUAUAUACUAAAUAACAUGUAUGAAUUAAGUGUACAUUUUAUUAGUGAAAGGUUCUUAUAUCAAUUUGUUUAUGAUUUUUAUUUAAAUAUUCAUAUAUUAUGUAGUAAGUAAUACGUUAUGUUUGAAAUAAUAUUGAUUAUGUAUUAAAGUUGCCAUUAGACAGUUUUUUAACAAAAUAUACCUAUUAUAUUAAUAUAGAAAAUGGGAGGAAAUCGUGCAACAUUAAAAUAGGAAACUUCUUUACCAUUUUCUCACUUUCCAUAUUCAACGAAAAGCUUGCCAUUUCGACAGUCAAUGACAUAUACAACAUAUUAUAUAAUGCGAUAAUAUUAUAAAACUAGUAUAAUCAUAAAUAAGAUGUGAUAUAUAUUUAAGGGAAAUAUUAAAAAACUGAUAAAUUCAUAAUAGAAUAACGUUAAAAUAAGGAGAAUAUUGUUAAUAUAAUAUAUAUACGCAUAUGAUAUACUCAUAAUGAACUAAUUUUAAAUGGGUAAAAUAACAAAUGACAUAUUUAUGUUAUUCUUCAUAUAAAACAUCAACUAAAAUAAUAAAGUAUUAUAUCUCACGGUUAAUAUAUAAAACUAUUAUAAAUGUAAACAAGAUGUGAUAUAUAUAUAUAAUAAAUCACAUAUACAACCUAUUAUAUCAUGCGAUAAUAUUUAAAACUAGUAUAAUCAUAAAUAGUAUGUGAUAUAUGUUUAAAGGGAAUAUUAAAAAACUGGUAAAAUCAAAAUAGAAUAACAUUAAAAUAAGAGGAAUAUUGUUUAUAUAUACUAUAUCUCAUAUAUAUACUCAGAAUGAACUAAUUUUAAAUGGGCAAAAUAACAAAUGACUGUGGAUUUUAUCUUAUCUUUAGGUGAUGGACAAUUGUAUAUGACGGCGAUUUGUUAAGAUUCUGCAGCUUACGGUUAUGAUAAAUUUGAAUACAAAUUUAUAAAACAAUGUAAUAAGAAGUUCAAAUGAUGGAGAAGAAUAGCAAAAAACAGUUGUCGGCGAUGGAGAAGAUAAUGUAAUGGCUGCCAGAGAGAGUGAACAAUUAGGUUAAGUUAUAUUUUUAGAAAGAAUAAUUAAAUAGUUUAUUACAAAAUAAAGUAAAAUUACAAUUAUUAUAAUAUAUUCUGAUUUAUAAUUAAUUUAAAAGAUACUUGAAAUUUAUUAACAUAUUAAGGUCUUUUGUCUAAAAGUUUCAACUAAUAAUAAUGAUAGUUGUAAAGCCCCAAAGGUAAAAAAAAAAAAUGUAUAUUUUACAUUUUCUUUUUAUAUAUUUUUAUAUAUAUAUUUUAUUUUAUUAAUUUAAAUAAAAAGAAAUGAAAAAGAAAAUCCUUAUUUAUAUAUUUUUUCUUUUCUUUUCUUUUUUUUUCUCUCUUCUUCUUCCUCCGUGCGCCGCGACCCCCACCCGUCCUCUUCUCCUUCCCGUUCGCAUCAAUCGCCGCCCCAUCCGUUCUCUUCUCUUUCGUUCGCAGCAGCCGUCGGCCGCCGCGUCUCCCCUACUGAAGCCGAGCGCCGCGACCAUUCCUUUCUCCUCUUCUCUUCAGUUCGCAAAGCAGCUGUACGCGUCCAAAUCUGUCGUCGUCCAGAUCUGCACCGCAAGACCUUCCGUCGUUGCGACCGUUGCUCUUUCUCCGCUGCCCAGCCGUCUCAGCCGGUUCUGUCUCCGUCGAAGCCACGGUUCUGCAACCGUCUCCGCCGGUUCUGUCUUCGUCGAAGCUAAGGCCCCCGCGUGAACCAGUAACCGCUACGCUCUCCGCUCACAACCGCCGCUCCACUUGCUAUCGACGUCGGUCGACUAGUUGCUGUAACCGUUCAGAUUUGCUGUAACCGUUCAGAUUCGCGGUCUGUUCGCGACGGUCUCCAUCCGUGAAGCCCAGCCGCCACGUUCCCUUUGGCCGACCGCUGACCGACCCACACUUAGGAUUUUGCUGCAAGUUCGACAGUCGUGCGUUGAGGUGUUGGGAGUAACGUUAGGCUCCCUUGCAUUCACAACCAGUUUGUGAGUUGUUGAGGGUUCAGUUCGCCAAUAUAUCGGUGAGUUGGAACUUACGUUGAGGAAAGUAAGUGAGAUAUGUAUCGUGAAAGUAAUUGAAUUUUGUGUUGUUGUGCUUAGGAUUGUUUCGAGGACGUUAGUUGAUUAAGGAGCUUCCCCAACUUUGAGGUAAGGGAUUUUCUACUGGACUCAAUUGUGAUUGUGAACUGUGAUUGUGAACUGCAUGUGUGUUGAAUGUAUACUGUGGGCUAACUGAAAAUAUAUAUGAAUGUAUAUGAAUUGAAGUAGACUUGACGUCAAAUGUAUAUCGUGAUUGUCAUGGAAUCUAUAUAUAAAUGUGUGUGUGUGGACAGGACGGAGAUUGUAGAUUGUGUUUGUAUGAGAUGCAGAUGUGAAUCUUGUGAUUUUCGUUUAGAUUGGGUGUAUGAUUACGCUAAAGUAUGACUGUGUGCUGGUGAACUGAGGGGUGCAUUGACUGUAUAGUGGAUUGACUGUAUAGUGGAUUGACUGAUGUAUUAGCAUAUUAUUGACAGACAUAUGACUGUAGUAAAAUAAGUUGACUGUUAGGAUGUUGAAAGAAAGAACUUUGUGACUUGAAGUAACUGAAAGAUGGGUUGAAUGGAAUGAGGGGAUAAAUUGUUAGAUUGUAUUGGGAUGUUUACCUUGUAGGUGUCCCACGGGAUCACCAAUUUAUUGUGCACCUUCAAGAGCAUUUGACUGAUAUGUGUUUCUGCAGAACACUAGACUGAUAUGUACGUCCCUCGGGGCGUUAGACUGAUAUGUACGUCCCUCGGGGCGUUAAACUGAGAUCUGUAUCCUACGGGAUCACAAGACUGCGAAUGUACAGAGUGUCCCAAUAGAACUUUAACAAUUUACUUUCCCCUGACGAGACCAGUAGAGGGUCUCUUACUGAGUAUUGUUAUACUCACCCUUCUUAUGUUUAAUUUUCAGGCAAAGGUAAUAAAGGCGGCAAACCGGCGAAGGGCAGGAAGGAAGCGUGAUUGACAUAGGAAAUGUGUCAUUUUGCUUCCGCUUAUGGUUUCUUUUGAGGUUUAAGAUGUACUAAAACUUAGUUUACAAACUUUUAUUUGUAAAUAGUGUUAUUUUUAAGUUUUCUUGAACAUUUGAAAAUCAGGCCUGACAUAAAUUGUUUUUAAAUUGACUUACGUUUCAUUUUGUAUCAACCAAAGUCUUUUGUUAAAAAUUAACGACCUCGACUUACCUAGAAAAGUUGGGUCGUUACAAUAGUUCUCAUUAACCAAUUGACAAAUGAAUGAUAUUGUCAAAUGAUCGAUAUUGUCAAAUGAUCGAUAUGUGCAAGUGCACAUUUCAAUUAUAUUAUAGUAAAACGUUCUUAGAGAUCGAGCUAGUAUCCUUUUAAGAGGGAUCAAAUUAACAAAUUAAUUUAUUGAUUUUAGGAUUAGGAUGUGUUUUAAGGAUAAAAACAAUGAUUAGAAACUAAUUAACUACAAGUUGUUGACUUUUGAAAAGAAUAUCUUUCCAUUCAAACAUAAUUGUUCCUAAUCUCUUCCAACUAAGUUAAAUAUUAUGGUAUUAAACAGAUACAUAGUUUGGUUGGUAGUUUCUCUUCAAAAUUAUUAUUUUGAGAAAACAAAUACAAUUUCUUUUUAUGUAAUCCAAUAUCCUCAAGUAUAUUUAUAAAUAUGGAAAUAUUAUUUCCAUAUUAGAAGAGAUACUAAAAGAUCUUAUUACAACAUCAUUAGAGUCCCAUCAUUUUCUCUAAAUAUCUCUUUUGUGGUGAAAGAUUUGGAAUUGCACAUCAAUCAUUUUGGAGUGGGUAAUUGAUCACCCUAUUUUUCAAAAAAUAAGAAAGAUAAAAAAUAGUUAUUUUUUUAAAGAUAUAUUUGAAAGUGUUGAGUUUAUGGAAGGUAUUAGUACUUAUACAACCACGAAACAUUUGAUUUUUGUUAUCUAAAUUAUUUUAAUAAAAAUGUUUUUUUUUUUUUUUGAAGUUUAUGCUUAUUAAAAAUGCUUAUUUAAAAAAUGUUAAUGAAAUUUUAAAAAAUAAAAUCUAAUUAAACACUUCUGAGAUAGAGAGGUUUCCCUUGACUACCCGAGCGUAGAUAAACACUUCUGAGAUUUGGUUGGUAAUCCUAAGUUCGUGUGCAGUUGAUUAUUUUUUAAAUUUUGUAUAGUUGAAUAAUAUUUGAAUUUUAAAUUUUCAUCUAUGUGAUAUUUACUCAUUUCAAACUUUUUGAAUAUGCAUGUUUAUUUAUUAUUCUGUCGUCUCUCUAUUGUAUUUUAAAAUAUAGAAUAUGUGUAUUUAUAUUAUUUGAAAUUGAAAAUUUAACUUUUACUCUUAGAGUAGGCUUUAACUCUUUGUUUGUCCGUGUUGUAGGUGAGCGAGAAGGAAAAGUUCCAUUGUUUGAUUGAAUUGGAAUUGUUUCCUGCAUGGGGUGUCAUACAUAAUUCCACUUAUUACUAGUUGAAGGUCUUCUUUGCCUCUGUCUUCUUCCCCAUCUCCCCAAGUUGUUCUAACCUUUUUAUAUCUACCUAUUACAUGUCAAAAGGUUCGCUCUUCAAUGUUUUGAAACAAGUUCAUUAUGAAAAUCUCUCACAAGCAAACGUAUGUGCAUUAUGAAUAAUUUCAUCUCAAAAAAAUUGUUUGAGAGGUUUCAAAAGUGUAUCGAAACUAAUAAUUUUAAUGAAUAAAAAAAUAAUUCUUCGUUAGAUUCUUACAUUUUAUUUCAACGAACAAAAUUUAGGAAAAUUUUUAAAAAUAGCAAAUUUUACAAAAAUAUUUACAAUUUAUAACAAAUUUAUAGUCAUUGAUAUGAUAUAACGAUAGUUACUAAUAAAUAUUUUAAUUUAUUUUGUUAUUUUUAAAAAUGCUCAUAAAAUAUUAUAGUGAGGGAACAAUGAUGAAUCACAUAGUUCUUGUGGUGAUGUCGCUUUUUCUCCCUCUUUACAUUCUAAAAUCUCAAAUACAAAUCAUAAAACAAGUAGAUAUACAUUCAAUUAGCAUGAUUUUGAUUCUAAUAAAUUAGAAAGACAAAAAUAACUAACUAAUUAUGGAAAAGUAAUAUUUUAACAUGAAUUAUUGAUUUUUAAUUAGAGGUAAUUUUAAAAUAAAUAAAAUAAAAGAAAAUAUUACAAAUCAAAUCUAAACUAACUUUGAUUUUACUUCUUUAAUUGCAAUAUAACAUAGAUACAUUGGCUAUGAAGUGCAAUUUCUUAUAUUAUAAUAUUUAAAAGAUUUAAAUUUAAAAAUAAAAAUAAGUAAUCUCAAGUCCAAUAUUGGACCCGUGGGCUUAGCCCAUCAAUUUAAAAAUUCAAAAUGCACACUCAACCGUCACAUUUUCCUAGGAUCAUCCUAUUUAAUGCCCUUCUACUUGUCAACUCCAUCGAAAUCCUUCAUUUCUUGUGGCACCGUCUAAAAUUUGCUUCGAUUGAAGAAAUUUUGACGCCCAUGACAGCGUUGAAAUUUCUUCAAUGCAAACAAAUUUUUUAUCUUCCUUUCAUCGAGGAUUUUCAUACCAUGUGAAGGAGAGAUCAGUUCCAUCCGUUCCAAGUCGUUCGUGAGUCAUCUUCUUUCCUGUGUAGUUUUCAUCUCUUGAUUUUGGAUUGCUUGUUCAAGAUUUAUUUUCGAAUUUUGGAUUGUUUGCUAUUCGGAUAGGCAGAAGGUUUGCACGAUGAUAGAUCUGGAGUACCUGAAUCGUUUAUUGAUUCUGUAGUUUAAUCUUAUGAUUUUGGUGAUUUCGAAGCGUACAAUAUAAUCGUACUGUGUUAUGAAGUAAAUAAGAUUUUGUAGGGUUUUUGAAAGUUAAUUUAGAUAUUUCCUGCAUUUUAGUCUUGAUAGAUCUGGGGUACCUGAACCGUUCAGGUUUGCAUGCUGUGAUUGUGUUGUUCUUUUUUGAUUUUGGAGAGAGUCCUUGGGUAAUUUUGAGGAUUGUUCUUUUUUUAGUUUUUUUUUGCAUGCAUUCAAACACACGCAUGGUUUUUAAACUGGGGUUCUUGAAUAUUUGUUGGUUUUCUCGAAUAUUUGCCGGUUUUUUUUUCUCAGAAGAAUUGAUCUUAUAUUUGUGUAUCUCUCUGUGCAACUUUAAUAUAAAGUUAUUAAGGAAGAAGAGAAAGGAGGAAGAAGGGAGAGAGAAAAGGUAGAAACGACCUAAUAGUAGGCAUGAGUAUUAAGAUGCAGCAGAGCCACCACUUAGUGGCGCUAAGGUUUAAUGAGCAAAUUGACAGUAGAAAAGGGUCCACAUCCAUACCUAAGUUACUAUUGCUCUGGGUUCUGUUGGUGGCAUUCAUUAGUAUGUUAAACUACAAAGAAAUGGAUGGGUGGGUGUUAACAAAGUUAGAAGAAAGUAAGUUCUGGGAAGUAUGUGUGACCAGACGACAAAGAUGUUUCUUAGUGUCAGUGUCAAACUAUGUCCAGGCUUUGGCCAUUCUCAUUUCCAUUUUCCAGUACUUCAAAAUCGUAUCAGCAAUUGAUCAGGAAAAUGUGUUUCGAUUUCUGUCUUUUAUUAGUCUCGGUUAGUUAGGCUUAAGAGUAAGGGAUAUAAUUCAUUUUUCUUGUUUCAGCUAGAAAUUACGUCGAUGUCUUGAUUUUUAGUUUUUUUAGGGCUGUUUGGUUGUUUUUUUAGGGGUGUUUGGUUAGUUAGGCCUAAGAAGUAAGGGCUAGUGAAAGAGAAGCAUUUGAUUGUCCUACAAGUAUCUGAAUCGCCAAUGAAAGCAGAGGUUAUUUCCUCUGAAUUUCCACGAAUUGUUCAGGUUUGGAUUCUGUGAUUGUGUUGUUCUGUUGUUCUCUUCUUUAUUUUGGAGUGUUCUAGGAAAUUUUGAGGUUUGUUAUUUUUUAGUUUUUUUGGCUUGCCUUUAAUCACGCUCGUUUGGGAAUAGACAGGCUUCAGAGAAUGAAUCUCCUUUUUAAGGGUUCGUUGGGGAGCGAAGUGACCAUAUGGCAUCCCUUUCUGCACCUGCUCAGUCUCUCUCUUGCCUUUUUCAUACUACAUAUUUUUGUUUCUCAAUUUAGUGUCAGUGUCAACCAUGUCUAUGCUUUGGCCAUUCUCAUUUCCACUUUCCACUACUCUAAAAAUGUAUCUGCAAUUGAUCAGGUAAAAGUGUUUCAAUUUUCUGUCUUUGGUUCAUCUCCGUUAGUUAGUCUUAAGAGUAAGGGAGAUAAUUCGUUUUUCUUGUUUCCCUCCAUGUAUUGAUUUUUAGUUUUUUAGGGAUGCUUGGUUGGUUUGAAUGCACGAAACAUUUGCUGGUACACGAUUCAAACAGCUUGCCCAGUCAUGUUUUUCUAUUUUUUUUUAAUAUUUUGGAAUUUUGCAUGUGUGAUUUCUGUAUAUAUUAUUCUUGCCCUUUUCCUUUAUCAUCAUUUAUUUUGAUUUUGGAGAGGUCUCUUGGUUAUUUGUUAUUUGCACAUAUACAAGGGUUGAAAAUUUCAAUCCCACCUCUCUUUUAUAUUACAUUCAUUUAGUUUUGGCUGUUAUCUAAUUGAACUAUUUGAUCAUCAAAUAAUUGUGUUACCUUUUCUUCUAGAUGUUUAGAUUCAUUUUUCUCACUCUUUUAGUUUUCUUAAUGUGUGACAGUCUUUGUUUUUUAUUGAACUAUUGUGUGGCAGUCUUUAUUUAUUGGUUAUCUUUAGUUUCACUAUUGUUCUUUUUUUAAUGUUUUCUUAGUUUUUAAUAAGUGUGACAAAAUAUGAAUUAAUUUUUUUCUUUGAACAAAUGUGGAAUUUAUUUUCUUUUAAUGUAGUUGUGUCCCCAAUAAAUUUAUUUUGGCGAUUUAACAAUCCAUCAUGUUCUUUUUCAUUUUUCUGUUGUAUUUUCUUCGGUUCUUUGUUGUGGUAUGUCUAUUUUUGAGACAUUCUUAAUUUAGUUUUAUUUCUUUUAGCUUCCUGCAUCAUUUUGUAUUAUGGAUUGUUAUGAAAUUUUGAGAUUAUGCUUUAUUUUGUUUUUUGGUCCUUUGCUGUGAUGUCUUUUGAUUAUUUAUUUUGAGUGAACAGUUCAUGUAAGAUUUUCUGCAUGAGAAUAAAUUGAUUAUUUAAUUUGGUCAAAGAAGUUCAAAAUUUACAUGUGAAAUUUACACUCAGUGGCUGUAAGGUUUAAUGAGAAAAUUGGAAGUAGAAAAGAGUCCACAUUAAUUCAUUCAGCCAAGAGGGCUUGGCAUCCUAAGUUUGCUCUGGGUUCUGUUGGUGGCAUUCAUCAAUAUGUUAAUCUAUUAGGGAAUGUAUGGUUAUAACAAAGUAAGAAGAAUGGAAGUUCUGGGGGAGUAUUUGUGACAAGAGGGCAAGGAUGCUUCUGCAUCAAUUUAGUGUUAGUCAAUCAUGUCUAUGCUUUGGCCCUUCUCAUUCCACUUUCCACUACUACAAAAAUGUAUCUGCAAUUGAUCAUGUAAAAGUGUUUCAAUUUUCUGUCUUAGGUUCAUCUCAGUUAGUUAGUCUUAAGAGUAAGGGAGAUAAUUCAUUUUUCUUGUUUCAGCUAGAUGUUACCCUCCAUGUCCUGAUUUUUAAUUUGGCUUCCUAAGUGUGCUCUAGGUUCUGUUGGUGGCAUUCAUCAGUAUGUUAAUCUACAGGUGAAUCUAUAGUUAUAACAUAGUAAGAAGAAUGGAAGUUCUUGGGGAGUCUUUAUGUGUGACGGUCUUUGUUUUUCAUUGAACUAUUGUGUGGCAGUCUUUAUUUAUUGGUUAUCUUUAGUUUCACUAUUGUUCUUUCUUUAAUGUUUUUCUUAGUUUUUAAUAAGUGUGACAAAAUAUGAAAUUAUCUUUUUCUUUGAACAAAUGUGGAAUUUAUUUUUCUUUUAAUGUAGUUGUGUCCCCAAUAAAUUUAUUUUGGCGAUUUAACAAUCCAUAAUGUUGUUUUUCAUUUUUCUGCUGUAUUUUCUUUGGUUCGUUGUUGUGCGAUGUCUAUUUUUGAGACAUUUUUAAUUUAGUUUUAUUUCUUUUAGCUUCCUGCAUCAUAUUGUAUUAUGGAUUUUUUCGAAAAUUUGAGUUUGAUCUUGUUUUCCUGGUCCACUGCUGUGCAGUUUUUUUUUAUGAGAUAUUUUUAUUUAGAUUUAUUAUCUUUUAGCUUGUUUUGCAUUUUGCAUUAUAGAUUAUUUUUUAAAAUUUUGAGGUUGUUUUUUUUCUUUGAUCUUUUGUUGCGGUGACAAUUUUAAUUUAGAUUUAUUAUCUUUUAGCUUGCUUGCAUUAUGGAUUGUUAUGAAAUUUUGAGAUGAUGCUUUAUUUUGUUUUUUGGUCCUUUGCUGUGAUGUCUCUCUAUAAGACAUUUUUAAUUUAGGUUUAAUAACUUUUAGCUAGCUUGCAUUGUGGAUUGUUAUGAAAUUUUGAGUUUCUGCUUUCUUUUGAGUUUUGGUGAUGCCUUUUUACGAGACAUUUUUUAAUUUAGGUUAAUUUUUUAGGUUGCUUGCAUUUAUGGAUUGUUCUGAAAUUUUGACUUUCUGCUUUUGUUUUUUAUGUCAUUUGUUGUGUGAUAUUCUCUUUAUAAGAUAGAGAUAUUUUUAAUUUAGGUUUACUAUUUUUUAGCCUGCUUGCAUUUGGUAUCAUAUAUGAAUUGUUCUGAAUUUUGAGUUUCUACUUUUUCAGUCAUUUUUUUAGGGCUGUUUGGUUGUUUUUUUAGGGGUGUUUUGGUUAGUUAGGCUUAAGAAGCAAGGGCUAGUGAAAGAGAAGCAUUUGAUUGUCCUACAAGUAAUAAGCUUCUCCUCAAUCAUUCAACCAUUUUUUUAGUAAAGAAAGAGGCUUCUCCUCUGGCAACCAAAGUCCGUCCCUCGUUAACAGGUAAGUCUACCUCAUUACUUUUUAUGUCCUUUUAAUUAAGAUAUUUGGGUCAAUAUAUAUCAAAAUAAAUAAGAUCCAUCUUUGGUAAUUUUUAAAAAAAUUAAAUCUAUAAAUACUCAUUUCAUCUCUAAAAUUAUGUGAUUUGUACUUUCUAAAAUUCCCUCGAUGGUACUAAUACACUCUUAUAUUUGUAUUGUAAUUAUCAUGUCCUUUUUCUAUGGUUUUUUAAAGUUAAUUUAGAUCCUUAUUCGCUCUAGGUAUAAGUUGAAUGGAAGAGUUUUUUAGCCUUGAUGGAUCUUGAGUACCUGAAUCGCCGAUGAAACAGAGGUUAUUUUCUCGAAAAUUCCACGAAUUGUUCAGGUUUGGAUUCUGUAAUUCUGUUGUUCUUUUUUGAUUUUGGAGAGUGUCCUGGGUAAUUUUGAGGAUAUUAUUUUUUUGUUUUUUCGGCUUGCAUUUAAUCACGUGCGUUGGGGAAUAGACAGGCUUCGGAGAAUGAAUCACCUUUUUAAGGUUUCGCUGGGGAGCGAAUUGGCCAUAAGGCAUCCCUUUCUGUUCAGUCUCUCUCUUGCCUUUUUCAUACUAUAUGGUUGUUUGAUCUGGGGUUAUUGAAUGAUUGUUGCUUUUAUUUUCAUAAGAAGUGAUCUUAUAUUUUUGUCUCUCUGUGCAACUUUAAUUUGAGGUUAUUAAGGAAGGAGAUAAAGGAGGAAGAAGGGACGGAGAAAAGGAAGAAAUGACUGGAUUGUUGGGAUGGGUAUGAAGAUGCAGUAGAGCCACCACCUAGGUAAGGUCUAAUGGGCAAAUUGAAAGUAAAAAAGAGUGCACAUCCAUUCAAGCUAAGAGAGCUUGGGUUCCUAAAUUACUACUGCUCUAGGUUCUGUUGGUGGCAUUGAUUGGUAUUGUUAAUCUACAAGGGAAUUGAUGGUGUUAACAAAGUUAGAAGAAAGGAAGUUUUGGGCGUAUGUGUGACCGGAGCACAAAGAUGCUUCUGCAUCAAUUUACUGUCAGUGUUAAACUAUGUCCAUGCUUUGGUUUAUUUUCUAUUUUCUACUUUCCACUCCUCUCGAAAUGUAUCAGCAAUUGUUCAUGUAAAUGUGUUUCGAUUUCUGUUUGAUACUUCUCAGUUAGUUAGGCUUAAAAGUAUGAGAGAUAAUUCAUUUCUCGUCUCAUAUAGAAAUUAUCUUGAUGUCUUGAUUUUUAGGGUUUUUUUCAGCGGUUUUUGGUUUUUUUUUUUUUUUUUUUGGAUUUUGGCUAGUUAGGCUUAGAGGUGCAAGGACUUGUGAAAGAGAAGCAUUUGAUUGACCAACGAGUAAUUAGUUUCUCCUCAAGCAUCCCACCACUUUUCUAUUAAAGAAAUACAGGUACGUCUACGCUAUUACUUUUCAUGUCCUUUUACUUAAGAUAUUUAUAUAAAUAUAUAUAAAAAUAAAUAAGAUCCAUCUUUGGUAAUUUUUUUUAAAAUCAAAUCUGUGAAUAUUCAUUUCAUCUCUAAAGUUUUGCGUUUUGUUACUUUUUAAAAUUCCCUCCAUGUUACUAUUACACUCCUAUAUUUGUGUUGUAAUUAUGAUGUCCUUUUUCUAUGGUCUGUUAAAGUUAAUUUAAAUCCUUUUUUGCUCUUGGUUUAUGUUGAAGAAAUGGAAGAGUUUUUUAGCCUUAAUAGAUCUGGAGUACCUUAAUCGCUCUUGCAUUUUGUGAUUCUGUUCUUUUUCUAUUUUGAAGAGUGUCCUGAGUAAUUUUUAGGAUUUUUAUUUUAUAGUUUUUGUCGCUUGCAUUUAAACACGAACUUGGUUGUUGAACUGGGAUUCUUGAAUAAUUGUUGGUUUUGUUUUCUGAAGAAGUGAUCUUAUAUUUGUGUAUCUCUAUGUGCAACUUUAAUAUGGGGUUAUUAAGGAUGGAGAUAAAGGAGGAAGAAUGGAGAGAGAAAAGGCAGAAAUGACUUAAUUGUUGGGAUGAGUAUGACCCCAUGUCUAGUAGUUCCCAAGUAUGAUAUAGGAAGGCAGAGAGUCAAGGCCUUGUCUGACUCUAAUAGAAGUAAGUAGCUAACGCAACGCAAUAUUCUUUGCACCUUCAGUCUGUGAAUCUGAGGAGCAAGAGUUUGGCCAGAGGAGCUAGUCUCGUAACUGCGGGCGCAGUUCUAGUUCUUUACAAGACAGAUGGGAACUGUAGCUAACAAGUGUGCCCUGAGUGGAAUCCUACCACUACUCUUUCUACUAUAUUGGCAGGACGGGUGCCAAGUUAUUAGUAGCUAGGCAGCUAAGCCAGUAGUAGUUCAGUUCAGGUGCUGUUCUCAAACCUAGUUGACUACGUUGUAGCGUAGCGGUACGGGACAGAAAAAGAAUUGAUAGCGGUACACUGAACACAAAGAAAUUUGAUAGACAUAUGUUGAGAGUUCGACAAGUAGCACUGAAUCUACUAUCAGUAGUGAUUUAUAGAAGUUGACUCGCUUAAACGAAGAGAGUGAACAAAGCAUAGCGGAGUGAAGAGAGAAAUGGUUUCAUUAGAUAGCUCUCUCGAUGUCCUUGUUAUCUUUCCUAGGUAGAUUGUGACUUAUUCAUUCUUUCUCGCUGACUCUAGUUUCCCCGCCGUGGAUCCUUUCUCGGUUAGGGCUGUAAUUUAGAAUUCAGAAACGUAUCUGUCUUAUUAUCUUUGAGUCAAAGCAAUGUUACAUAUUUAUAUAGAGAAUAAACUAAACCCUAGAGACUAUGUAAAAUUACAAUAAAGGACAUAUGUGUAUAUAUAUAUAUAUAUCAUAACACUCCCCCUCAAGCUGGAGCAAAUAUGUCGAUCAUGCCCAGCUUGUUGCACAGAUAGCUUAUCCUUGUUCCAUUUAAAGCUUUAGUUAGAAUAUCUCCCAAUUGUUCUCCGGUCUUCACAUAUCCUGUGGACACCAACCCAUCUUGGAUUUUCUCACGAAUGAAGUGACAAUCCACCUCAAUAUGUUUAGUUCGUUCAUGAAAUACUGGAUUAGAUGCAAUAUGAAGUGCAGCUUGAUUAUCACACCAUAAUUUAGCUGGCACGGUAAUACUGAAGCCUAUCUCAGAUAAUAGUUGGUGAAUCCAUACUAUUUCACACACAGAUUGUGCCAUAGCUCUAUAUUCUGACUCAGCACUCGAACGAGAAACAACAUUUUGUUUCUUACUCUUCCAUGAAACUAAGUUUCCACCUACAAAAACACAAUAUCCAGAAGUCGAUCUCCUAUCCUCACGAGACCCCGCCCAAUCAGCAUCAGAAAAACAUUCAACUCUCGUAUGUCCAUGAUCUUUGUAUAGGAUCCCACGUCCAGGAGCAGCUUUUAGAUAACACAAAAUCUGCUCUACUGCAGCCCAAUGAUCCACUGUAGGGGAAGACAUGAAUUGACUUACAACACUUACAGAAUAUGCAAUGUCUGGUCGAGUCACUGUUAAGUAGUUCAACUUCCCAACUAAUCUCCUAUAUCUCUCAGGAUCUUUACAUAAUUCUCCUUCUUUAACAAGUUGCUGAUUUGGCAUCAUUGGAGUGCCACUUGGUUUGGCGCCUAAUUUUCCUGUUUCAGACAACAAAUCAAGUACAUAUUUUCGUUGAGACAAAUAAAUACCUUUCUUGCUUCUCAUCACUUCAAUGCCCAAAAAAUAUUUCAAUUGGCCCAAAUCUUUUGUAUAAAACUGACCCUGAAGGAAAGUUUUGAGAGACGAAAUACCCAAUGCAUCAUUUCCAGUAAUAACAAUAUCAUCAACAUAUACAACUAGUAGAACUAUACCCUUCUCAGAUCGGCGAUAGAAAACUGAAUGAUCAGAUGUACUCUUCUUCAUACCAAAGCAUACAAGGGCUGACUAAACUUACCAAACCACGCACGAGGACUCUGUUUCAAACCAUACAGAGAUUUUCGAAGGCGACAUACUUUAUCACUCUCCCCCUGAGCAACAAACCCUGGUGGUUGUUCCAUAUAAACUUCCUCUUGAAGAUCACCGUGAAGAAAAGCAUUCUUAAUGUCAAGUUGAUGCAACGACCAUUUAUUGGUAGCAGCCAUGGAAAGAAAUAGGCGAAUGGAAGUUAACUUGGCAACCGGAGAGAAUGUAUCUGAAUAAUCAGUGCCAUAGAUUUGAGCAUAACCUUUGGCAACAAGGCGAGCCUUUAAACGAGCCACUGUUCCAUCAGGAUUCAUCUUGACAGCAAACACCCAUUUACAACCAAUGGCCUUCUUUCCUGCAGGACGAGAUACCAAAUCCCAAGUAUCAUUAUCAUCUAAAGCAGUCAUCUCCUCAAUCAUUGCAUUUUGCCAGCGAGGAUGAGACAAAGCUUCAUGAACAGAGUUAGGAAUAGAUGUGGACUCAAGAGACGUAAUAAACGCAUAUGUGGAGGGAGAUAACUGGUGAUAGGAAAUAAAGGAAGAAACGGGGUAAGUACACUUGCGUUUACCUUUGCGAAGAGCAAUGGGAAGAUCAUCACUUGGCGCUGGAUCACAUGAUGAAGGAAGCAUUGAUGGAGGACAUGAGUCUGAAGGUUGUGGUGGAGGUCGUCGGGAGUAGACUUGAGAAAUCAACGGGCGGGAAGGAGGCACAUCAGUAGACAAGGAUGGUGUGGGAGAGGUAACCUCAUAUAUAAAAAGAUUGUCAUCCUCCCCCUGACACAAACUCGAUGGUGAUGAAGUAAAGGGUGUAUCUUCAAAAAAGACAACAUCAGGCGAAACCAGAUACCUUUUAAGGGUAGGACAAUAACAACGAUAACCCUUUUGAACACGUGAAUAACCCAAGAAGAUACACUUCAAGGAUUUGGGAUCUAACUUAGUAUGAUGAGGACGAACGUCACGAACAAAACAGACACAACCAAAUAUCUUAGGAGCAAUAGGAAACAAAUGCUUGGUAGGAAAAAGAACACGAUAGGGAAUCUCACCAUUAAGAACAGAGGAAGACAUUCUAUUAAUCAAAAAACAAGCUGUAGAGACAGCAUCAACCCAAAAGAUUUUUUAAACAUGCAUUUGAAACGAUAAAGCACGGGUAGUUUCAAGUAAAUGCCUAUUUUUCCGCUCUGCAACACCAUUUUGAGAUGGAGUGUCAGCACAGGAAGAUUGAUGAAUAAUGCCAUUUUCACACAAGUAAGAGCCAAGAGAAUGAGAAAAAUAUUCACCCGCAUUAUCAGUACGCAAAGUUUUGAUAGAGACAUUAAAUUGGUUUUUUAUUUCAGUAUGAAAGGCACAAAAAUGAGAUAAUAACUCAGAACGAUUUUUCAUUAAAUAUAACCAAGUUAGACGAGAAUGAUCGUCAACAAAAGUAACAAAAUAACGAAAGCCUGUUUGAGAUACAACUGGACACGGACCCCAAAUAUCAGAAUGAACUAACUCAAAUGGAGCAAUUGCUCGUUUAUCGACUCGAGGACUCGAACUAAGACGAUGAAAUUUCGCAAAUUGACACGAAUCACAAUUUAAAGAGGACAAAGACCUAAAUUCUGGAUAAAGUUUCUUCAACACGAACAAAGAUGGAUGACCUAAACGACAAUGGACUUCAAAAGGAGAGGGAACGACAGGACACGCCACAGCUUGCGAUACUUGAUGAUCAAAGAGAUAAAGGCCUCCUGACUCAUAUCCUCUACCAAUAAUCUUCUUCGUCACACGAUCCUGAAACAAGCAAUAACCAGAAAAGAACAUGACAACACAAUUUAGGUAGGUCAUGAGUAAGUUGACUAGUAGAAAUUAAAUUAAAGGAUAAGUUAGGCAAAUGUAACACAGAAGAGAGUGAAAAUGAUGGGGUAAGGUGAAUAGUGCCAGAGCCAAGAACAGAAGAUGUGGAGCCAUCGGCCAAUGUAACCGAUGGAAAAGGGGCAGGGGACAACGGUCUAGAAAAUAGGUGAGAAUUACCUGUCAUAUGAGCUGUGGCACCAGAGUCUAUGACCCAUUUGGUAGAUGAUGUAAGAAGACACUUUAUAUUACCUGGGGCAACAGUGGAUGCAAUCAGAGUAGAGGAAGAUGACGCUUGUAAUGACUCUUGGUAAUUCUGAAACUUAGCAAACUCAUCUGCCGAAAUAGUAACUGACGCCUCUGGUAUAUCACAUGUGGAGGCUAUCUGAGCAUGUUGAGAUCGUUGACUAUUCUUAUAUAGCAAUUUCUGACAAUCACGUUUCAUAUGGCCUGGCUUACGACAGUAGUUACAAACAAUCUCUACAGACUCUGGUUUUCGAUGAUCAGUACUAUUCCUCUGAGGUGCCCGAGGGUUAUUGUUAUUGUUCUUGCUAAAGAGAGCACUACUGGGUUGAGGAAUAGACACACUAGUCGGAGAGCUUUCAAUGCGAAGGACUCGAGUGAAGGCAUCAUCUAAUGAUGGAAUCUUGGAGUCAGAGAGAAUCUGUGUCUUUGCCAUUCCAAAUUCAGGUAAGAGUCCAUUCAGGAAAAUCAUAACAGCCAUCUUCUCUCGUUGAACUUGUUGAACUUUAACAUCAGGACUAAAAGGUAACAACAAGCCAAGCUCGACAAUGAUCUUCUUAAGCCGCAUAAAGUAGCUGGUGACAGACUCAGCUUUCUGUUCCGCACGAGAAAAUUGCAUACAAACUUCAAACAUUCUAUGCACUUGCUCUUUACCUGAGUAUAGAAAAUCCAAAAAUUCCAAAAGUUCUUUAACAGACUCACAGUGAUCAACCAAUCCAAUUAUCUCACUCUCAAUUGAAUUCUUGAUCUGAAGAUAUAAACGGGCAUCAUCACGAAGCCAAUCCUUCUUCUGCUUUGCAUCUUUUGGGAGAUCGAGUUUCAAACCUUUAUACACAAAAUUGAAACUCAAAAUUCACUUCCUUCCUUCCGCAAGGCCGAUAUCUUUCAUAGCAAGCAAGGAUGAGUCCAUUAGGUUCUUCGAUUGAUUCGGAAAAGAAAUGAGAGACAAGAAAAGAUCUUUGAUGGAGAUGAAAAGGAAGAAUCUCAAAUAGACCAAGAUCCAAUUUCGGGUCAUUUCUUGGUGAACAUGAUCUGCCAUAAUCUCUUCGAUCCCUGAAUUUAUGUGCCAGAAUAAAGAGAGAUUUGGUAGGAAAGUGGAAGAGACCUUGUGGUAUAUAAUAAUGAGAGGGAGUGGGAAAGCUGCUGUAAUUCUUUGGAAAAGCCCGGUUCUUUUUGUCUUCGAGCUUGAAUUCCUCAAUCCACUCUUUCGUUCUUUCAUAUACCUCCCCACCAAUAGAUAGAGACAAAUAGGAAUAACCGAACCACGUCUACAAAAUGCCAGUACCAUGCAGCUGCUUCAAAGCCAAUGUGAUGCUCCUUGGUCGGAUGACCUAGAUAUUGGCGAAUACCACAUACGAUCAAGAAAAGAGUACCUAUAAUCACAUGAAAACCAUGAAAGCCAGUUGCUAAGAAAAAGGUAGAACCAUAAAUACUAUCCGAAAUAGUGAAGGGUGCUUGAUAAUAUUCCAUUCCUUGAAAGCCUGUGAAUACUAGAGCCAGUGAAACGGUAGCUACUAAAGCGUAAACAGCUCGUUUUUCCUUCCCCGCGAGUAUAGCAUGAUGAGCCCAAGUUACGGCUGCUCCGGAUGAAAGGUGAAUAGGGGUGUUAAGAAAAGGGAUUUCCCGAGGAUCUAAAACCCCAAUCCCUUUUGGGGGCCAAAUAUCUCUGAUCUCUACCGUAGGUGCCAAAGAAGAAUGAGAAGAAGCCCGAAAGAAGCAAAAAGGAACAUAACCUUCGAUACGAUAAAGAGAAUAAAACCAUAUCGAAGUCCUAUUUUUACGACUUUGGUAUGAUGUCCUUCCAACGUGGAUUCACGUAGAACAUCGCGCCACCAUACGAACAUGGUAUAUAGGAGAAAUAUGAGGCCCAAACUGAGAAGUCUUGCACCCCCUUGAAAUGAGUGCAUGUACAUCACACCUCCUACGGUGGUUGCCAAAUGAUAAGAAUGCCUCUGAGAUUCAAUCAUAAACCACUUUGCCUCGGUUGUAUGUAAACCCCCCCUUCACCCCCACCCGCUAAAGUGGUAAAGAAGGGCUCUUUGGGGUCUCAUUUUCUUUCUAUCUGACAGGACUCAAAAAUAGGAAGGGAUGGUUCUUUCAUUGCAUUGAUAGAAGUCUAACUAGAAAAAGAUCUCGUUGCUUUGACCGAGCCCUAGGCUUUCCUUGGAUAGAGCCCUCUAUAUUCCGACUGAUUUAUGGCGUAGAAGGCGGGAAUAGGAAUCACUCAUAUUGCAUUGAGCCUUAACAGUCCGGAGGACUAUCCCGCUCCGUGGGAUUCUUUGAGCCUCACAAUAUUCUUUGCACCUAUCCAUCCACGGCAAUAUUCUUUGCACCUUCGCUCCAAAUAAAGUAAUAGCCGCAACUCAAUUCAUUUCAGCCUUCGCCUAGAAAUUCACUUUGCGACCCACUCUGUAAGCCCACUACACGAGAAGAAAGAAUAUCCUUAGCUAUUUAUCUUUAUUAUCUCUUCUCUGAGAAUAUCCUCUUAUUCUACUAUUAGAAGAAUAUCCUACUUUCAGUUUCUAGUCAAAGAAAGGUCCAGGCGCAGGCGCAAAGAAUAUUGCGAGGUGCAGUCUAAUGGAUAGGACUGAGGGCUCGACUGAAAGGAGAGAAGGCGCAAUUCAAUAUGCGAGGUCCAUAUUCCGACUGAGGAACUGAAACUUCCGCGUAGUGCUUCCCUUGUUCAUUGAUAGUAAUCCUGAAGUUUCUUCUUGGCAUCAAAAUAGAUCAAUGAAAGAGGACUAAAAAUAAGACGAAAGUACUUAUGACGGCUUUCCUUCCCAACAAAUCUUCGUUCUUAGUUAUUUGAUUCCACUUUCAAACUUUCUGGGAGUUGUCUUCUCCUAGGCUUUCUUCUUUCUGGCAGUCUUCUGCCUUGCCGUAGGGAGUAGGUUCAGGAGAACCAUAACCAUAAAUCAGAGAGACGGAGGCAUCAAUCACGCAAUAUUCUUUUGCACCUCUUCCUUUAAGCUAUAUUUUUUUAGGCUCCGGAGGCUCAAAGACAGGGAUAUUGUUGAAUACUAUUAGUUCGAGUCGCAGAGAGCAAAGAAUUUUCUCUUAAUGGAACUUAGCGCGGGUUAAUAUGGAUAGGACUGAGGUCUUAAGACUCCUAACUAUUAAUGGAAAGGACCCACGGAGCGG